AUGCGAUGGCACAGAGAGGACCGUAAGAAAGAUGGGAAGUUGAGAGCACCCGCUGAUGGGUCGAAGUGGAGAAAAAUUGAGAGAAAGUACCGGGCUGAGUUUGCAGGUGACCCAAGGAACGUAUGGUUUGGUUUAAGCGCGGAUGGCAUUAAUCCUUUCGGGGAGCAGAGCAGCAAUCACAACACCUGGCCCGUGACUCUAUGUAUGUAUAACCUUCCUCCUUGGAUGUGCAUGAAGCGGAAGUUCAUUAUGAUGCCAGUUCCCAUCCAAGCCCCUAAGCAGCCCGGUAACGACAUUGAUGUGUACCUAAGGCCAUUAGUUAAAGAACUUUUACAGCUGUGGAAUGGAAAUGGGGUACGUGUGUGGGAGGAGCACAGACAUGAGGAAUUUAACCUGCACGUGUUGCUGUUUGUAACCAUCAAUGAUUGUCCUGCUCUCAGUAUCCUUUCAGGACAGACAAACAAGGGAUACCACGCAUGCACGCACUGUUUAGCUGACACCGAAAGUAUAUACCUGGACAGAUACAGGAAGAAUAUGUACCUGGGGCAUCGUCGAUUUCUUCCGACCAACCAAUGUCGAAAGAAAGGCAAGCAUUUCAAAGGCGAGGCAGAUCACCGGAAGAAGCCCGCCAUGCGUACCAGUGAUCACGUACUUGUUGGGAAACGUAGUAAUUUCAAAAAAAUUCCUACGCACACGCAAGAUCAUGGUGAUGCAUAG
Molecule: ribosomal RNA, 717 nt
Filed under: Triticum aestivum (bread wheat)
Lineage: Eukaryota; Viridiplantae; Streptophyta; Magnoliopsida; Poales; Poaceae
Description: partial small subunit ribosomal RNA
Source: RNAcentral